Non-coding RNA from Triticum urartu, 147 nucleotides. Lineage: Eukaryota; Viridiplantae; Streptophyta; Magnoliopsida; Poales; Poaceae. The record is from Rfam.
CCAGAUAAUCCAUUAUCUGAGCUUAAGUGGCAUGCUAAAUUAGUAAUAAGUUAGUGUGAAGCCCACCUAAAUCCAUCUUAAACAGAUUUCAAUAAUUAGCUAAGAUGGUGAGCUAGAUAUCUAUGAAUAACAUUUGUGAAUCCACGU